GAUGAAGAACGCAGUGAAAUGCGAUAAGUAAUGUGAAUUGCAGAAUUCAGUGAAUCAUCGAAUCUUUGAACGCACAUUGCGCCCGCCAGUAUUCUGGCGGGCAUGCCUGUUCGAGCGUCAUUUCAACCAUCAAGCCCCCGGCUUGUGUUGGGGACCUGCGGCUGCCGCAGGCCCUGAAAUGCAGUGGCGGGCUCGCUGUCACUCCGAGCGUAGUAGUUACAUCUCGCUCUGGGCGUGCUGCGGGUUCCGGCCGUUAAAAGCCUUAUUUACCCAAGGUUGACCUCGGAUCAGGUAGGAAGACCCGCUGAACUUAAGCAUAUCAAUAAGCGAGGA
This 333-nucleotide unclassified non-coding RNA is filed under the name soil metagenome. RNAcentral's name for it is "partial contains 5.8S ribosomal RNA, internal transcribed spacer 2, and large subunit ribosomal RNA". The stretch from base 1 to 120 matches the Rfam family "5.8S ribosomal RNA", at positions 35 to 154 of the family's 154-position model. The record is from RNAcentral.